Molecule: long non-coding RNA, 895 nt
Filed under: Homo sapiens (human)
Lineage: Eukaryota; Metazoa; Chordata; Mammalia; Primates; Hominidae
Source: RNAcentral
AACAACAUGUUCUCUUGUGUUUGGCUUCUCUUGCUCAGCAUGAUAUUUUUAAGGUUCACCCAUAUUGCAUGUAUCAAGAAUACAAUCCUUUUUAUUAUUGAGUAGUGUUCUAUUGUAUGUAUAUAUACCACAGUUUAUUUCUCCCUUCAUCCUUUGCUAGAUUUUGGGGUUUUUUCACAUUGCACUAUUCAGUAUAAACCUGCUCUCAACAUUCAUGUGCAAGUCUUUGAGUGGACAUAUAUUUGCGUUUCUCUUGAGUGAAUGCACCUUGUUGGGUCACGUGGCUUAACUUAAAAAAAUUUUAAUCACUGUGGUGCAUAUGUAGUGAUUAUUAAUGAUUAUCUCAUAAUUUUAUUUUCUUGAUGAUUAAUGAUGUUGAGUGUAUUCCAUUUGUAUUUUAGUUUGCAAAUGUUCAAAUUCUUCACCCGUUUUUAAUGAAGACAUAAGACUUAUUUUUGUGUUCUGAACAUAAGUUCUUUGUCACAUAAAAUGUGCUAUGAAUGUUGAGUUUUAAAUACUCCAAAUGAAUGGCUAGAGAAUUACUAUUUGUAGAAAUAUUUAUAUGUCAAAGGGAUGCUAACAAUUUACUUUAUUGCUCUAAAAUAGAAAAGUUGCCAGAAUGCUGUGGAGUUUUAGUGGAAAACAUGAUAGCUGGUGUUACUGAGUAAAUUUGAGUGUUAAAUGUCAAUGUAAGCUAACGGCCAAGAUAGGGACCACUGCAGGGUGGUUACUUGCAGCUAUGACUCAACUGGUCCUUCACUGCCAAACAUACCUGGGGUUGGAUCAUUGGCCUGACGUUUGCAAAUUGAGGAACCUUAGGGCAAAUCAGUGAACUUCUGAACUGCCUUCGUCUUCAGUUAUAUGGGGAUUUCCCCACUUUUGAGAUACUUGUAAG